UUCCUACUCCCUCCGUUCCGAAUUAUUUGUCGCAGGUACGGAUGGAUCUAGAUGUAUUUUAGUUCUAGAUACAUCCAUUUCUGCGACAAGUAAUUUGGAAUGAAGAGAGUAGAUG
Molecule: non-coding RNA, 115 nt
Organism: Triticum urartu
Lineage: Eukaryota; Viridiplantae; Streptophyta; Magnoliopsida; Poales; Poaceae
Source: Rfam